AUCCGGUGCGAGGACAGUGUCAGGUGGGCAGUUUGACUGGGGCGGUCGCCUCCUAAAGAGUAACGGAGGCGCCCCAAGGUUCCCUCAGAAUGGUUGGAAAUCAUUCGAAGAGUGCAAAGGCAGAAGGGAGCUUGACUGCGAGACCUACAAGUCGAGCAGGGACGAAAGUCGGGCUUAGUGAUCCGGUGGUACCGCAUGGAAGGGCCAUCGCUCAACGGAUAAAAGCUACCCUGGGGAUAACAGGCUUAUCUCCCCCAAGAGUCCACAUCGACGGGGAGGUUUGGCACCUCGAUGUCGGCUCAUCGCAUCCUGGGGCUGAAGUAGGUCCCAAGGGUUGGGCUGUUCGCCCAUUAAAGCGGUACGCGAGCUGGGUUCAGAACGUCGUGAGACAGUUCGGUCCCUAUCUGUCGUGGGCGUAGGAAAUUUGAGAGGAGCUGUCCUUAGUACGAGAGGACCGGGAUGGACGUACCGCUGGUGUACCAGUUGUUCCGCCAGGAGCACCGCUGGGUAGCUAUGUACGGAAGGGAUAAGCGCUGAAAGCAUCUAAGCGUGAAGCCCCCCUCAAGAUGAGAUUUCCCAAUUAGUAAGACCCCUUGAAGACGACGAGGUAGAUAGGUUGGGGGUGGAAGUGCAGUAAUGCAUGGAGCUGACCAAUACUAAUCGGUCGAGGGCUUAUCCUAAA
This 682-nucleotide ribosomal RNA is filed under the name Paenibacillus peoriae. Its description in RNAcentral is "bacterial LSU rRNA". It matches the Rfam family "Bacterial large subunit ribosomal RNA", at positions 2238 to 2925 of the family's 2925-position model. The record is from RNAcentral. Lineage: Bacteria; Bacillati; Bacillota; Bacilli; Caryophanales; Paenibacillaceae.